RNAcentral lists this transfer RNA (72 nucleotides) under Bos taurus (domestic cattle). It matches the Rfam family "tRNA". Rfam says of the family: Transfer RNA (tRNA) molecules are approximately 80 nucleotides in length. Their secondary structure includes four short double-helical elements and three loops (D, anti-codon, and T loops). Further hydrogen bonds mediate the characteristic L-shaped molecular structure. tRNAs have two regions of fundamental functional importance: the anti-codon, which is responsible for specific mRNA codon recognition, and the 3' end, to which the tRNAs corresponding amino acid is attached (by aminoacyl-tRNA synthetases). tRNAs cope with the degeneracy of the genetic code in two manners: having more than one tRNA (with a specific anti-codon) for a particular amino acid; and 'wobble' base-pairing, i.e. permitting non-standard base-pairing at the 3rd anti-codon position. Lineage: Eukaryota; Metazoa; Chordata; Mammalia; Artiodactyla; Bovidae. The record is from Rfam by way of RNAcentral. RNAcentral also lists the same sequence under 2 other names.
UCCCUGGUGGCUCAGACGGUAAAGCGUCUGCCUACAAUGCAGGAGACCUCGGUUCGAUCCCUGGGUCGGGAA